GUGUCCGUCUGCUCCACGGCAAUGCAUCGGCUCAUUCCGUACAGGAAGCGGUACCAAAGGACUACACCUGGAUCCGAAGCAUUCUUCGUCGACACGCACAAAGACAGAGCUGAGCUUUCGGAGGCUCUCUUCCGAUCGACCUUCGGCAUCACGGAUGAGCUGUUCGUCCGGAUAGUGUCUGUGGGAAGAAAUGCAAAAGAGCCAUUGGCGUAAGCACUGUGACGAAAUGUGUGAAGAAAGAGAUACCUAGAA
Long non-coding RNA from Ornithodoros turicata, 252 nucleotides. RefSeq lists it as uncharacterized. Lineage: Eukaryota; Metazoa; Arthropoda; Arachnida; Ixodida; Argasidae. The record is from RefSeq and is a predicted model, not a curated record. The transcript is spliced from 2 exons.